CUCUUAUCGAGAGAGGUGGAGGGACGUGCCCGAUGAAACCCGGCAACCGUCAACAAGGAAUUGUUGAAAUUGGUGCCAAUUCACACAAAGCUAUUUGCUUUGAUAGAUGAGAG
Molecule: non-coding RNA, 113 nt
Filed under: Bacillus sp. (in: firmicutes)
Lineage: Bacteria; Bacillati; Bacillota; Bacilli; Caryophanales; Bacillaceae
Description: Bacillus sp. SAM-I sequence
Rfam family: SAM riboswitch aptamer (S box leader)
About the family: The SAM riboswitch is found upstream of a number of genes which code for proteins involved in methionine or cysteine biosynthesis in Gram-positive bacteria. The SAM riboswitch acts at the level of transcription termination control.
Source: RNAcentral